Molecule: ribosomal RNA, 253 nt
Filed under: uncultured bacterium
Lineage: Bacteria
Description: partial 16S ribosomal RNA
Rfam family: Bacterial small subunit ribosomal RNA
Source: RNAcentral
UACGUAGGGUGCGAGCGUUGUCCGGAAUUACUGGGCGUAAAGGGCUCGUAGGGGGUUUGUCUCGUUGUCCGUGAAAACUCACAACUCAAUUGUGGGCGUGCGGGCGAUACGGGCAGACUGGAGUACUGCAGGGGAGACUGGAAUUCCUGGUGUAGCGGUGGAAUGCGCAGAUAUCAGGAGGAACACCGGUGGCGAAGGCGGGUCUCUGGGCAGUAACUGACGCUGAGGAGCGAAAGCGUGGGGAGCGAACAGG